Non-coding RNA from Parelaphostrongylus tenuis, 74 nucleotides. The record is from the annotation of a GenBank genome assembly. NCBI's taxonomy places the organism in Eukaryota, Metazoa, Nematoda, Chromadorea, Rhabditida, Metastrongylidae.
GCCGCCAUAGCUCAGUAGGUUAGAGCGUGGGUCUAAUAAGGCCAAGGUCAUGGGUUCGAAACUUGCUGGCGACG